Molecule: ribosomal RNA, 252 nt
Filed under: uncultured bacterium
Lineage: Bacteria
Description: partial 16S ribosomal RNA
Rfam family: Bacterial small subunit ribosomal RNA
Source: RNAcentral
CGGGUGAGUAACGCGUGGGUAACCUGCCUUAUACAGGGGGAUAACAGUCAGAAAUGGCUGCUAAUACCGCAUAAGCGCACAGAGCUGCAUGGCUCAGUGUGAAAAACUCCGGUGGUAUAAGAUGGACCCGCGUUGGAUUAGCUAGUUGGUGAGGUAACGGCCUACCAAGGCGACGAUCCAUAGCCGGCCUGAGAGGGUGAACGGCCACAUUGGGACUGAGACACGGCCCAGACUCCUACGGGAGGCAGCAUG